GUGUGGAUUUGGAUUUGUGGCAGCCCCAUCCCCCGGGCUCUCACAGUGUCCUGUGCCAGAGCAAACUGUGACCCAGAA
This 78-nucleotide small nucleolar RNA is filed under the name Cavia aperea (Brazilian guinea pig). RNAcentral describes it as "Small nucleolar RNA SNORA42/SNORA80 family (ENSCAPG00000002603.1)". The record is from RNAcentral. Lineage: Eukaryota; Metazoa; Chordata; Mammalia; Rodentia; Caviidae.